RNAcentral lists this ribosomal RNA (497 nucleotides) under uncultured bacterium. Its description in RNAcentral is "partial 16S ribosomal RNA". It matches the Rfam family "Bacterial small subunit ribosomal RNA", at positions 28 to 507 of the family's 1533-position model. The record is from RNAcentral.
GAUGAACGCUGGCGGCGUGCCUAAUACAUGCAAGUCGAGCGAACAGACGAGGAUCUUGCUCCUCUGACGUUAGCGGCGGACGGGUGAGUAACACGUGGAUAACCUACCUAUAAGACUGGGAUAACUUCGGGAAACCGGAGCUAAUACCGGAUAAUAUAUUGAACCGCAUGGUUCAAUAGUGAAUGACGGUUUUGCUGUGACUUAUAGAUGUAUCCUCGCUGCAUUGGCUAGUUGGUAAGGUAACGGCUUACCAAGGCAACGAUGCGUAGCCGACCUGAGAGGGGGAUCGGCCACUCUGAAACUGAAACGCGAUCCAGAGACCUACGGGAGGCAGCAGUAGGGAAUCGUGCGCAAUGGGCGGAAGCCUGAAGGAGCAGCGCCGCGUGAGUGAUGAAGGUCUUCGGAUCGUAAAACUCUGUUAUGAGGGAAGAACAAAUGUGUAAGUAACUAUGCUCGUCUUGACGGUACCUAGUCAGAAAGCCACGGCUAACUACGUG